UACGUAGGGGGCUAGCGUUGUCCGGAAUCAUUGGGCGUAAAGAGCGUGUAGGCGGUCCGGUAAGUCCGUUGUGAAAGUCAAGGGCUCAACCCUUGAAUGCCGGCGGAUACUGUCGGGCUAGAGUCCGGAAGAGGCAAGUGGAAUUCCCGGUGUAGCGGUGAAAUGCGCAGAUAUCGGGAGGAACACCUAUGGCGAAGGCAGCUUGCUGGGACGGUACUGACGCUGAGACGCGAAAGCGUGGGGAGCAGACAGG
This 253-nucleotide ribosomal RNA is filed under the name uncultured bacterium. RNAcentral's name for it is "partial 16S ribosomal RNA". It matches the Rfam family "Bacterial small subunit ribosomal RNA", at positions 524 to 776 of the family's 1533-position model. The record is from RNAcentral.